Molecule: ribosomal RNA, 172 nt
Filed under: Tina coursii
Lineage: Eukaryota; Viridiplantae; Streptophyta; Magnoliopsida; Sapindales; Sapindaceae
Also listed under: 2 other names
Description: Neotina coursii 5.8S ribosomal RNA
Rfam family: 5.8S ribosomal RNA
About the family: 5.8S ribosomal RNA (5.8S rRNA) is a component of the large subunit of the eukaryotic ribosome. It is transcribed by RNA polymerase I as part of the 45S precursor that also contains 18S and 28S rRNA.
Source: RNAcentral
UCAUUAUCCAUAACGACUCUCGGCAACGGAUAUCUCGGCUCUCGCAUCGAUGAAGAACGUAGCGAAAUGCGAUACUUGGUGUGAAUUGCAGAAUCCCGUGAACCAUCGAGUCUUUGAACGCAAGUUGCGCCCCAAGCCUUUAGGCCGAGGGCACGUCUGCCUGGGUGUCACG